AUGAGUCUGGAAGAAUCUGAUCUGUGUUCGAGUUCCACGGAACUGGGUCCAAGUGGGGACUUCCACCAGCCCAGCCACCCAGCUACUCAGAGGACUACUACUCCUGCUACACCCGUCACAGCUACAUCUUCUCCCCCCAUCAGCCCUCCUCCCACUUUAAGCACAGUGUCAGUUGAGUUAUAUACCGUGUACCACAGAGUGGUCACAUGGUCCUGGUACCAAACCUUCACCAGUCUCAUUGAAUGGUCAGACCACUCAGGGUCACUUGACACUCGAACAGAGGAACCAUCAGCUGUGUGGUACUUAGCUACACCUCCCACCCCUCCAGCCACCACACCCUCCACUGCAAAUCCAACAACCACACCCGUUCCUGUAACUUCAGCUCCAACAACACCAAGUCUCCAGACGGCCUCAGCACCCGGUGCCACUGAGACAUCCGCCCCCUUCGUCCCUCCAUGGCGGGACAAUGAGGCUUUGAGCACCCGGCGCCGUAAAGCCCGUCCUGUGGGAGCGGCGGGGGGGUUCUGUGUUUGGCUGUUUGCUGGGUGCCUGCUGCUGUGUGCAGCAUCAGCAGUGUGUGUGCUGGUGACUGCGGCGAAGCUGCUUGUCUGGUACAAGAGGGUGUACACACCGCUGACAACAGCGAGGAGGAGAGGAGGCAGAGAAGGAGUGAUGCUGUCAGCGUACAACAGGAGGACAGACAGGGAGGAGGCAGGAGGAGGAGGAAUACUGGCCCUGUACCGCUCCGUUUUGUUUGUCCACAGAGAUGAGGGAGAAGGAGGUGUGGACAGGGAAGGAGGAGGGACAGAAAGACAGCUUGUUACUCUGACGCCAACAGGAGGCGUAACUGUGGAGGAGGCAGGAGAAAGAGGAGGUGCAGGGUUGUACAGGAAGACACUGUACCGCCCGUUUAGCAGAGAGGAUGAGCUAGAGGGAUGGAGGGAUGUGAUGGAGGAGUGUCGAGUCUCUGCAGAGGGUGGAGGUAGAAGGAGAGGACGCACUUUUGAAGAGAUGCACAGAAUGAGGAGCAAAGGUGGAGGAGGAGCCUCCAAAAAGCACUACAGUGUCAUCCUGAGGGAGGAGAGGGAGGCAGAGGCAGGAGGAAGAGAGGAG
This is a long non-coding RNA of Parambassis ranga (Indian glassy fish), 1113 nucleotides long. NCBI's taxonomy places the organism in Eukaryota, Metazoa, Chordata, Actinopteri, Ambassidae. The record is from Ensembl.